Molecule: non-coding RNA, 27 nt
Filed under: Homo sapiens (human)
Lineage: Eukaryota; Metazoa; Chordata; Mammalia; Primates; Hominidae
Source: RNAcentral
GGACAUGGUGGAUGGACCCUACAUCAC